GUAUUAACUACCCAUAGUAUAAUGAAGUGCAUCACUUUAUUAUUAAAGAUUUAUCACUCGAAGAUGGCUGUGCGGCUGAUUAGGUAGUUGGCGGGUAAAGGCCCACCAAGCCUGCGAUCAGUAACUGGUGUGAGAGCACGACCAGUCACACGGGCACUGAGACACGGCCCGACUCCUACGGGAGGCAGCAGUAAGGAUAUUGGUCAAUGGAGGCAACUCUGAACCAGCCAUGCCGCGUGGAGGAUGAAGGUCCUCUGGAUUGUAAACUUCUUUUAUAUGGGACGAAAAAAGGCUUUUCUAAGUCGUCUGACGGUACCAUAUGAAUAAGCACCGGCUAACUCCGUG
RNAcentral lists this ribosomal RNA (345 nucleotides) under uncultured bacterium. RNAcentral's name for it is "bacterial SSU rRNA". It matches the Rfam family "Bacterial small subunit ribosomal RNA", at positions 160 to 507 of the family's 1533-position model. The record is from RNAcentral.